This 327-nucleotide ribosomal RNA is filed under the name uncultured fungus. RNAcentral's name for it is "LSU rRNA". It matches the Rfam family "Eukaryotic large subunit ribosomal RNA", at positions 320 to 667 of the family's 3401-position model. The record is from RNAcentral. Lineage: Eukaryota; Fungi.
AUACCGGCCAGAGACCGAUAGCGCACAAGUAGAGUGAUCGAAAGAAGAAAAGCACUUUGAAAAGAGGGUUAAAUAGUACGUGAAAUUGUUGAAAGGGAAGGGUUUAUGACCAGACCUUUGCGUUAGGAAUCAUCCGGUGUUUUCACCGGUGCACUUCCCUUCGUUGAGGCCAGCAUCAGUUUUGGUUGGGGGAUAAAGACUUUAGGAAUGUGAUUCCCCCGGGAAUGUUAUAGCCUUUUGUGUAAUACCCUGACCGGGACUGAGGACCGCGCUUCGGCUAGGAUGCUGGCAUAAUGGUCAUCAGCCACCCGUCUUGAAACACGGACC